GCUAAACUCAGCUGCAAACAAGAAUCUGUUGCUGCCUGAAAAUGAUGAUCUAUGAAAAACAAAUUAGCAGUCUGUCCCAGUUCAUGUAUGUAAUGAGACAUCUUUGUUUCUGAUAAACUGGAAAUCACUACAGAAACCCAUGUAAGUGGCUACCAUGUGAGCUGGCUACCUGUUCUAAUUCAGUGAGAUCAGAAGAGAUUUGAAGGUUAAGAGUAAAAGAGUACAGAAAAAAAUUCCGUUGAUUUAUACAUGAAGAUGGCCCUAACAGCUGCAUUAUCACUUGAGAGUGCAGCUGUUAUUAUCCCUGAGGUUAAACAUGAUGGAAUCCUCAAAGAAAUAUUUCAAAGCCUGUCCAUACACAUUGACAAGGAGCUGUAGAAACAAGGAAGCAGAAUUCUUAAGGUCAUGUAACUAACUG
Passer domesticus (house sparrow) is the source of this 418-nucleotide long non-coding RNA. RefSeq lists it as uncharacterized. The transcript has 4 exons. The record is from RefSeq and is a predicted model, not a curated record. Lineage: Eukaryota; Metazoa; Chordata; Aves; Passeriformes; Passeridae.